ACGCUUGCUGCAUGCUUUAUACAUGCAAGUCGAACGAAGGCCCUAGCUUGCUAGGUGUCCUUAGUGGCGCACGGGUGAGUAACACGUGGGAACAUACCUCAUAGUACGGAAUAACUGCGGGAAACUGUAGCUAAUACCGUAUAUUCCAGUAAUGGGAAAGAUUUAUCGCUAUGAGAUUGGCCCGCGCAAGAUUAGUUUGUUGGUAAGGUAAUGGCUUACCAAGGCUACGAUCUUUAGCUGGUUUGAGAGGAUGAUCAGCCACACUGGGACUGAGACACGGCCCAGACUCCUACGGGAGGCAGCAGUAGGGAAUAUUGGACAAUGGGGGAAACCCUGAUCCAGCAAUGCAGCGUGAGUGACGAAGGCCUUAGGGUUGUAAAACUCUUUCAUCGGUGAGGAUAAUGACAGUAACCGAAGAAGAAGGACCGGCUAAUUCCGUGCCAGCAGCCGCGGUAAUACGGAAGGUCCUAGCGUUGUUCGGAAUUACUGGGCGUAAAGCGCAUGUAGGCGGAACAGAAAGUUAGAAGUGAAAUCCCUGGGCUCAACCUAGGAAUUGCUUUUAAAACUUCUGUUCUGGAAUUAAGGAGAGGAAAAUGGAAUAUCCAGUGUAGAGGUGAAAUUCGUAGAUAUUGGAUGGAACACCAGUGGCGAAGGCGAUUUUCUGGACUUAUAUUGACGCUGAGAUGCGAAGGCAUGGGUAGCAAACGGGAUUAGAUACCCCGGUAGUCCAUGCAGUAAACGAUGGGUGCUAGUCGUCGGACUUAUGUUCGGUGUCGUAGCUAACGCGUUAAGCACCCCGCCUGGGGAGUACGGUCG
RNAcentral lists this ribosomal RNA (816 nucleotides) under uncultured Alphaproteobacteria bacterium. RNAcentral describes it as "bacterial SSU rRNA". It matches the Rfam family "Bacterial small subunit ribosomal RNA", at positions 33 to 888 of the family's 1533-position model. The record is from RNAcentral. Lineage: Bacteria; Pseudomonadati; Pseudomonadota; Alphaproteobacteria.